UUGAGAUUUUAGGGUUCUGAAGUUUCUAUGUCUAACCUUGGGGGAUAUUGAUUGGGAGGAGGGGAAAGGAACCUGAAAUUAGGGUUUCCUCGGAAGCGUUGUUUUUGUUGGGAAAAUAAAGAUGGUAUAUUUGGCACAAGGAAGAGGAUUAGGUUUAGAGGAUAAUGUGUAUAUUGUGUGUGAUUCAGAAGCGGUCUCGCUGGGUUGCGAUGAUGCUACCUUGGUUGGUU
RNAcentral lists this long non-coding RNA (230 nucleotides) under Vigna radiata. RNAcentral describes it as "long non-coding RNA (VRAD_LNC003024)". The record is from RNAcentral. Lineage: Eukaryota; Viridiplantae; Streptophyta; Magnoliopsida; Fabales; Fabaceae.